GACGAACGCUGGCGGCGUGCUUAACACAUGCGAGUCGAACGGAAAGGCCCUGCUCUUGUGGGGUUCUCGAGUGGCGAACGGGUGAGUAACACGUGAGUAACCUGCCCUUGACUUUGGGAUAACUUCAGGAAACUGGGUCUAAUACCGGAUAGGAGCUCCUGCUGCAUGGUGGGGGAUGGAAAGUUUCGGCGGUUUGGGUUGGACUCGCGGCUUAUGAGCUUGUUGGUGGGGUAGUGGCUCACCAAGGCUUUGACGGGUAGCCGGCCUGGAAGGGUGACCGGCUCCAUAGGGCUAGGGGUGCGACCAGGACUCAUUCGGCCGGCAGGAGCGGAAACUUUUCCGAACAGGGCGGAGGCCUGGUGGAGGAACGCCGGAUGCGAAAUGACGGCCUUUGGGUUGGAACACGCUUUCGCGUGUCACGACGCGUGGGUGCGGGUACUGGGUAGAGAGGCACGGCUAACUACGUG
Molecule: ribosomal RNA, 467 nt
Filed under: uncultured bacterium
Lineage: Bacteria
Description: partial 16S ribosomal RNA
Rfam family: Bacterial small subunit ribosomal RNA
Source: RNAcentral